AUUAAAAAUGAUAUAUGUUCUAAAGUAAGUGAAAAAAAAAAUACAAUGACAUAGGUUGAUAAAUAUAGAAUUAUCAUUUUGCUAUAAGAAGGAUGUUUUGUAAUAGAAUAACAUGUUCUUAUUAUGUUAUGUGGUUUUAUGUUAUAAAUGAUGAACACUUGAAUUUUAGACAAUGAUUAUCAUUGUACAUGUGCUAAAACUCCCAUUUAAAUUUGAGCAAAUAAUUAUAUAAUAAAAAAGGAUAGUCAGUGGUCAAAAUAUAUUGAUAUAAAAUGUCAUAAUUUACCAACUACAAUUAGAGAACUAUAUAUAUAUAUAUAUAAGAGGGAGAGGGAAAUUAAUGGUUAGUGGAAGAAAAAUAGCUAAGGAAAGGUUUUAUGUGCACUUUUUAUGGUAAAAAAAAUGAAGUAAAAUAUCAAAAUUUGAAACUAUAGGAUCUAACAGCCCUUUAGAAAAAGAAUCAACCAAAUCAAUAAAUUCAUAUCGAUUCACAGAUUCAUUAUGGAAUCAUAAGAUUCGGUCAAGAUUCAGGUACAUU
This 538-nucleotide unclassified non-coding RNA is filed under the name Hevea brasiliensis (rubber tree). The record is from RNAcentral. Lineage: Eukaryota; Viridiplantae; Streptophyta; Magnoliopsida; Malpighiales; Euphorbiaceae.